AAGCGGAGGAAAAGAAACCAACAGGGAUUGCCUUAGUAGCGGCGAGUGAAGCGGCAAAAGCUCAAAUUUGAAAUCUGGCACUUUCAGUGUCCGAGUUGUAAUUUGAAGAAGGUAUCUUUGGGUCUGGCUCUUGUCUAUGUUUCUUGGAACAGAACGUCACAGAGGGUGAGAAUCCCGUGCGAUGAGAUGUCCCAGACCUAUGUAAAGUUCCUUCGAAGAGUCGAGUUGUUUGGGAAUGCAGCUCUAAGUGGGUGGUAAAUUCCAUCUAAAGCUAAAUAUUGGCGAGAGACCGAUAGCGAACAAGUACAGUGAUGGAAAGAUGAAAAGAACUUUGAAAAGAGAGUGAAAAAGUACGUGAAAUUGUUGAAAGGGAAGGGCUUGAGAUCAGACUUGGUAUUUUGUAUGUUACUCUCUCGGGGGUGGCCUCUACAGUUUACCGGGCCAGCAUCAGUUUGAGCGGUAGGAUAAGUGCAAAGAAAUGUGGCACUGCUUCGGUAGUGUGUUAUAGUCUUUGUCGAUACUGCCAGCUUAGACUGAGGACUGCGGCUUCGGCCUAGGAUGUUGGCAUAAUGAUCUUAAGUCGCCCGUCUUAA
This 593-nucleotide ribosomal RNA is filed under the name Lodderomyces parapsilosis. RNAcentral's name for it is "Candida parapsilosis partial large subunit ribosomal RNA". It matches the Rfam family "Eukaryotic large subunit ribosomal RNA", at positions 48 to 657 of the family's 3401-position model. The record is from RNAcentral. Lineage: Eukaryota; Fungi; Ascomycota; Pichiomycetes; Serinales; Debaryomycetaceae.